ACGGAAGGCAGCAGUGGGGAAUAUUGCACAAUGGGCGCAAGCCUGAUGCAGCAACGCCGCGUGAGGGAAGACGGUCUUCGGAUUGUAAACCUCUGUCCUUGGUGACGAAGAAUGACGGUAGCCGAGGAGGAGGCCACGGCUAACUACGUGCCAGCAGCCGCGGUAAUACGUAGGUGGCAAGCGUUGUCCGGAUUUCUGGGUGUAAAGGGAGCGCAGGCGGGAAAGCAAGUCAGCUGUGAAAUAUACAGGCUUACCCUGUAGACUGCAGUUGAAACUGUUUUUCUUGAGUGGAGUAGAGGUAAGCGGAAUUCCGAGUGUAGCGGUGAAAUGCGUAGAGAUUCGGAGGAACACCAGUGGCGAAGGCGGCUUACUGGGCUCUAACUGACGCUGAGGCUCGAAAGUGUGGGGAGCAAACAGGAUUAGAUACCCUGGUA
Molecule: ribosomal RNA, 434 nt
Filed under: uncultured Oscillospiraceae bacterium
Lineage: Bacteria; Bacillati; Bacillota; Clostridia; Eubacteriales; Oscillospiraceae
Description: bacterial SSU rRNA
Rfam family: Bacterial small subunit ribosomal RNA
Source: RNAcentral